GUACGGGUGGCAGAGCUGGUUUAAUGCGCAGGAUUGCUAAUCCUGUAUACGUACGAAUAUGCGUAUCCUGGGGUCGUAGCCCAGUCCGUACG
Molecule: transfer RNA, 92 nt
Filed under: Caudoviricetes sp.
Lineage: Duplodnaviria; Heunggongvirae; Uroviricota; Caudoviricetes
Description: tRNA-Ser
Rfam family: tRNA
About the family: Transfer RNA (tRNA) molecules are approximately 80 nucleotides in length. Their secondary structure includes four short double-helical elements and three loops (D, anti-codon, and T loops).
Source: RNAcentral